This is a long non-coding RNA of Homo sapiens (human), 464 nucleotides long. RefSeq lists it as uncharacterized. Lineage: Eukaryota; Metazoa; Chordata; Mammalia; Primates; Hominidae. The record is from RefSeq and is a predicted model, not a curated record. The transcript is spliced from 3 exons.
CGCUGCAGAGGGGCUCCCUCCUCACAGGAGAAAACAUGGCCCCCAGGUUUCACCCCUUGGAGAGAGAACGGCCUCACUCACUCUCAGAAGCAGAGCCCCCCGCCAGUGGUUCCCACGCUGGAGCAGGGCACAGCGGCCACACCCAGAGGCUCCCAUUCAGCACUGGGGGCCCAGGAAUCUGCAUUUGCAACGUGGUUACAGAUGGUGGUGAUGCUACAGCUCCAGGAACCCCACUUUGAGAACUAAGUGGGAGGGGAUCUCUCCAAACAUGGCUGCACCAGCGCCCACCCCCGACGGGAGACAGCACGUGCCUUCCGAGUGCUCAUAGGGGAAGCCUGCGUCCGCCUUCCAGCCCUGUGGUCUCUGGUCUUCCCAGCGGUCCGGCGGAGCCCACGUGCCCUACUCACACUGGCUGCGCCUCCUGGCACCGCUGAGCUCAUGGCCCUGUUGUGUUCUGCUCCUGC